Molecule: unclassified non-coding RNA, 1198 nt
Filed under: Hevea brasiliensis (rubber tree)
Lineage: Eukaryota; Viridiplantae; Streptophyta; Magnoliopsida; Malpighiales; Euphorbiaceae
Source: RNAcentral
AGUAUGGAUUGUGCAGUUUCCAGCCUUUUGUGUGCUGAAGACAACAGUAGCAUUUUUUGCAAUGAGGACGAUGAUGUCGGAUUUGGGUUUGUAGAGGAAGUUGUGGGGGAAGAUAUAUGGUAUCCUAGGAUUCAUCGAAAUGGUCAAGAAAACAGGAAGUUGUUUAAUGGAGAUGAGUUUUAUACUGGUGUACCAUUGCAGAGUGAUGAGUGUUUAGUUUUGAUGAUUGAAAAAGAAUGUGAACAUAUGCCUGCUGUUGAUUAUCUUGAAAGAUUGAGAAAUGGGGAUUUGGAUAUUGGGGCUAGAGAUGAGAUUCUUGAUUGGAUUGCUAAGGUUCAUUCGCAGUUCAAUUUUGGUCCAAUGUGUGCAUAUUUGGCUGUGAACUAUCUUGAUAGAUUCCUUUCUGCUUAUGACUUGCCUAAGGAAAAGGCUUGGAUGAUGCAGUUACUCGGCGUAGCUUGUCUGUCGAUUGCUGCCAAAAUGGAGGAGACUGAUGUUCCUCUGUCUCUAGAUUUACAGGGAGGGGAUGCAAAGUUUGUAUUUGAAGCUAAAACAAUACAGAGAAUGGAGCUACUUGUGUUAACCACAUUGAAAUGGAGAAUGCAGGCUAUCACCCCAUUCUCUUACAUAGAUUAUUUCAUCAAGAAGAUAAAUAAUAGCGAUCAAAUAUCUUCGAUCAAUAAAUCAGUUGAACUCAUACUAAGCACACUAAAAGGUAUUAACUUCUUGGAAUUCAAGCCUUCUGUGAUUGCAGCAGCAGUAGCAAUCUCAUUUGCAGUAAAAACUGAGACAUUAGACAGUGAGAAAGCACUAUCUGCUCUAGUUCAGCAUGUACAAAAGGAUAAAGUGAUGAAGUGUGUUGAACUGAUUCAAGCAUUGUCAUUAGCAAGUGACUUUGUUAAAGUUCCAAUUGCUUCUUCAAUCCCAUCUGUUCCUCAGAGUCCAAUUGGUGUGUUGGAUGCAGCAUGUUUAAGUUACACAAGUGAUGGCUCAGGAGUUGAGUCGCGGUCUAAUUCAUCGCAUAAUAGUCCAGUGAAGAGGAGAAAGCUAAAUACUUAAAGAUGGAUGAGAUAUUAAGUGGAAAGAAGGCCUUUUGUCAAGUUAUUAUGAUAUAGUUGAAUGAGAGUUUUGGUGUGAUCUUUUGAGAAUUACAAUGCACCCCACAUACACAUAACUUCAAAAUAAAGAAAGUUUAGGA